Falco peregrinus (peregrine falcon) is the source of this 2240-nucleotide long non-coding RNA. RefSeq lists it as uncharacterized. The transcript has 4 exons. NCBI's taxonomy places the organism in Eukaryota, Metazoa, Chordata, Aves, Falconiformes, Falconidae. The record is from RefSeq and is a predicted model, not a curated record.
AGAAAAAGAACUAAGGUGGGCCGGUUAGCUCAGUUGGUUAGAGCGUGGUGCUAAUAACGCCAAGGUCGCGGGUUCGAUCCCCGUACGGGCCAGUUUUAUGGUGUUUCGGUAUUUUUCUUUUCAGUUUAGGGUUUCUUUUGUCAGACACCACGUCCCGUGCCUGGUGCCAAGCAGGAACGCGGCGGCGGACGGGGUGAAGUAGGAUGCUACUCAGCCCCCGGGCGGCCCUCUGGCCGCGCCCCGUGCGCAGCGACCCCCUCAGCGCCGCUCGGCCCGUCCCCGCUAAGGCGCCCGCGGGCAGUGAGGGAAGUAGGAAGUGGGAAAAAAUAUGAAGAACCGGGGAGGCGGGCAAAACACUCCUGCCGUGACUCGGAUUCGAACCGAGGUUGCUGCGGCCACAACGCAGAGUACUGACCACUAUACGAUCACGGCCGCUCAGCGCCCGGCGCCACACGCCGCACACACUCGUUUUACCGCCGCGCUCCUCCACGCCUGCCGCCGGCGGGGAGGCUGCGAGCUAGGGCCCCGGCGGCGAAAAGGAGGACGGCGACGACAUCGUCGCAUGCAAAAUAUAAGACGACUCCUCCCCGUCGGGGAAUCGAACCCCGGUCUCCCGCGUGACAGGCGGGGAUACUCACCACUAUACUAACGAGGAGCGAACUACACGGUUUUUGUGCCAGCGACAGCCCAGAGUGCAGAAGGAGCGGGAAAGUGUCUGAGUUCAGAAGCGCAUCAUAAAAAUCUAUUGAAGGAAGAUGUGGCUCAGGGAUUUCUGAAAAUGCUCUUGUCCUUGAAAGGUGUUGUUAGUGGCAAACGAGAAGAUGCCUGAACUCUGAUUAGCACUUGUACUAAGCAAAGGCUUUGCAGAAGCAAAGGGCUUGGAAUUUGGUGAUGUCCCCCUCCUCUACAACUUUUUUGCUGACUCCCAGGAAGGAUCCAUUCAUGCUGUGAAGUGAGUUGUUUAUGCUGAUGAAAACAAGGAAAGCCCAAUCACCGCAGCAAUGAAAUCAAAAGGUAGGACUGUGCUAUACCACCAGGCCAGGAACACAUCUAGUGUUGGCAGUGGGAUGAAGCUGUAUGGUGAGAAUGGGACUGCCUUCAUGGUUAACGGGUACCAGGCAAAGGUCAGUUUUCCUAGUGGACAGAGGUCACCAAUGAAGUUUAUGAAAUUCCUAAUAGAGCCUGUGCUACUCAGCAUAUCCAAAAGCACCCUAAAAAUGGGAGUAAACUGUAAAUGUCAGAGUUUGCUGAUAUUGCAAGAUUAAGCAAGAUAGGUUGAAACCUAAAAAGGAAAUUGAAAAGAGUUACUAUUGAGCCAAGCAACUGAGCAGUGGAACAGCAGGUGAAAUUCACUGUUGAUUGAUCUGAAGUGAUGCACUCAGAAAAAGUUACAUACACACUGAGAGGUCAAGUUAACUUUCAUUGCCCAGAAAAGAUCCUGGCAUCGUAACAGUUCCAUGGAAAAGCCAGCUCAAUGCGUAGCAGCAGUCAAAACAAGCAAACAGCAUAUUAGGAUUAUGAAAGGAAUAAUCAACUGAAACAUUAUUAUGCUGCUGUAGCACAUCUGCAUCUUGGAUACACAUAUGUAGCUUACGUUGUCUGUUCCUUAUCCCCAGUUCAGAAAGGGCAUGGAAAAUUUAAGCCCAGAGAAACUGGCAAAUGUGAUCAAAGGUAUGGAACAGCUACUGUACAAAGAUUAGAAAGGGCAGGACUUGUCAGCCUGGAAAACUGACAAUUAAAAAACCAGAAGCCUGUAAAAUAAGAACUGUUAGGAAGAAAAUGAACAGGAAGAAAAUCUGGUUACUCACUGGAAAGUCAAAUGAGGUCAUCAGGUGCAAGUAGAAAACAAAGAGGCACUUUUUCAUACAACACCCAGUUAAGCUGGAACUCCAUACCACAGGCUUGUCAGGACUGCCAGAGGCUCACAUGGUUUAGAAAAAAGGUACUAAACAAAACCCCGUGGAGCGAGGUGGGGAAAUCUAUCAAGUAGUACUAAGCACAAAAAACAUACCACUUUUUUUUUUUCUUCUUUUUUUCCAGAAAUGUCUAAGUCACACAUGACUGGCAACUGAAUGAGUAUAGCAGACCAGAGAAGUAUCUGCAUGUAUUUGGCCAGUUCUUGUAUCAGGCACAAACUAACCACUGUUGAGAGACUGGGCACCAGGACAGACCUUUGAUUUAAUCUUAUAUAAAGUAUUCUAAUAGGAACAGUGCCUACUUGCAACUCCACGUAACUAUGC